AAGGUCUUAGCUUAAUUAAAGUGUCUGUUUUGCAUGCAGGAGAUGUGGGUUAAAGGCCCGCAGACCUUA
RNAcentral lists this transfer RNA (69 nucleotides) under Ostorhinchus apogonoides (short-tooth cardinal). RNAcentral's name for it is "tRNA-Ala". It matches the Rfam family "tRNA". From Rfam's summary of the family: Transfer RNA (tRNA) molecules are approximately 80 nucleotides in length. The record is from RNAcentral. Lineage: Eukaryota; Metazoa; Chordata; Actinopteri; Kurtiformes; Apogonidae. RNAcentral also lists the same sequence under 2 other names.